AAAGGGCUCGAUCUCCCGACUGGCCCGGAAGAGGGCCACUGUGGAGUGCGGAGUCGCCGCGGCCUCUCCUAAGCAGCCCUUCAGCGUGGCCGGUCAAGUGCACCCCGAGAGCGGCCGCGCGUUUGAAACGGAGAGAGAGCCAUGCGACUCCUGGGGCGCGUUUCUGCAAACACGCGAGGAGAGCGAGGCCGCUGCGGCCGGUGACCCCCAGGACUAUGCGGAUGUGGACACAGGAAAAGCCAGGCGUGGUUACCGCGAUCACUGAGCAGGAGUCGGGUGUGUGGAGGACACGGGAGACCCCGAGCAGGGCGCCAGCGGGGCGGACGCCCAGAGGCCAGGUGGCUGGUGCUCUGUGGUCUGUGUAGGAGGGAUGGAGUUGGGCGGCUCCGGCCAGCACGGAAGAGGAGGCAUUCGAACUGGUCCUUGAGGGAUGAAAGGAGACUUUUCACCAGAGGAGGGACAGGGAGGCUGGCCUGAUCCCAUCCCACCCAACGGCAAACCGCGCUCCGUCCCCUCUCCUGUUCUGCCCCCAGAAGAGAAAGGAGCACCCCAAAGUGCAAGCAGCCGGAGCUGCCCA
Molecule: long non-coding RNA, 577 nt
Organism: Molossus molossus (Pallas's mastiff bat)
Lineage: Eukaryota; Metazoa; Chordata; Mammalia; Chiroptera; Molossidae
Exons: 3
Source: RefSeq, a predicted model, not a curated record